RNAcentral lists this ribosomal RNA (204 nucleotides) under uncultured soil bacterium. RNAcentral's name for it is "partial 16S ribosomal RNA". It matches the Rfam family "Bacterial small subunit ribosomal RNA", at positions 26 to 233 of the family's 1533-position model. The record is from RNAcentral.
AGAUUGAACGCUGGCGGAAUGCUCUACACAUGCAAGUCGAGCGGCAGCGCGGGGCGACCUGGCGGCGAGCGGCGAACGGGUGAGUAAUGCAUCGGAACAUGUCCAUGUCGUGGGGGAUAGCCCGGCGAAAGCCGGAUUAACUACCGCAUACGCCCGAGAGGGGAAGUGGGGGACCGCAAGGCCUCACGCGAUUGGGUUGGCCGA